ACGACGCUGGCGGCAGGCUUACACAUGCAAGUCUAGCGCCCCGCAAGGGGAGCGGCAGACGGGAGAGUAACACGUGGGAACAUACCUUUUGGUUCGGAACAACUGAGGGAAACUUCAGCUAAUACCGGAUAAGCCCUUACGGGGAAAGAUUUAUCGCCGAAAGAUUGGCCCGCGUCUGAUUAGCUAGUUGGUGAGGUAACGGCUCACCAAGGCGACGAUCAGUAGCUGGUCUGAGAGGAUGAUCAGCCUCAUUGGGACUGAGACACGGCCCAAACUCCUACGGGAGGCAGCAGUGGGGAAUAUUGGACAAUGGGCGCAAGCCUGAUCCAGCCAUGCCGCGUGAGUGAUGAAGGCCUUAGGGUUGUAAAGCUCUUUUGCCCGGGAAGAUAAUGACGGUACCGGGAGAAUAAGCCCCGGCUAACUUCGUGCCAGCAGCCGCGGUAAU
This 445-nucleotide ribosomal RNA is filed under the name uncultured bacterium. RNAcentral's name for it is "bacterial SSU rRNA". It matches the Rfam family "Bacterial small subunit ribosomal RNA", at positions 33 to 524 of the family's 1533-position model. The record is from RNAcentral.